GACGAACGCUGGCGGCGUGCUUAACACAUGCAAGUCGAACGCUGAAGCCCUGGCUUUUGUUGGGUUGGAUGAGUGGCGAACGGGUGAGUAACACGUGAGUAACCUGCCCUCUUCUUUGGGAUAACGCCCGGAAACGGGUGCUAAUACUGGAUAUUCACUGAUCUUCGCAUGGGGGUUGGUGGAAAGGUUUGUUCUGGUGGGGGAUGGGCUCGCGGCCUAUCAGCUUGUUGGUGGGGUGAUGGCCUACCAAGGCUUUGACGGGUAGCCGGCCUGAGAGGGUGGCCGGUCACGGUGGGACUGAGAUACGGCCCAGACUACUACGGGAGGCAGCAGUGGGGAAUAUUGCACAAUGGGAGAACGCCUGAUGCAGCGACGCCGCGUGAGGGAUGGAGGCCUUCGGGUUGUAAACCUCUUUCGCUCAUGGUCAAGCCGCAACUGUGGGUUGUGGUGAGGGUAGUGGGUAAAGAAGCGCCGGCUAACUACGUG
Molecule: ribosomal RNA, 486 nt
Filed under: uncultured bacterium
Lineage: Bacteria
Description: partial 16S ribosomal RNA
Rfam family: Bacterial small subunit ribosomal RNA
Source: RNAcentral